This 253-nucleotide ribosomal RNA is filed under the name uncultured bacterium. Its description in RNAcentral is "partial 16S ribosomal RNA". It matches the Rfam family "Bacterial small subunit ribosomal RNA", at positions 524 to 776 of the family's 1533-position model. The record is from RNAcentral.
UACGAAGGGGGCGAGCGUUGUUCGGAAUCACUGGGCGUAAAGCGCACGUAGGCGGAUUUUUAAGUCAGGGGUGAAAUCCCGAGGCUCAACCUCGGAACUGCCUUUGAUACUGGAGAUCUUGAGUCCGGAAGAGGUAAGUGGAACUGCGAGUGUAGAGGUGAAAUUCGUAGAUAUUCGCAAGAACACCAGUGGCGAAGGCGGCUUACUGGUCCGGAACUGACGCUGAGGUGCGAAAGCGUGGGGAGCAAACAGG